CGGAGGAGGUGCUGUCAGCGCAGGCUGAGGGCUGCUCUCCAAGCAAAGUGCCUCCUCUUUUGGGAACCGAGUCCCUCAUUUGGACUCGGGAUCCACAGGAGACUGGAACCUGGACCGCAGGGACCCGACGCUCAGGGACCAUCUGCUACCGGCCCCAGCCCAGAUGAUACAGUUAGAGCCUACCCACAGCAUCCUCCCCGCCUUCAGACAGUUCCAGGAACAGGGGGAUUCUGAAGGGCCCGCCCUUGGCAUUGGCUGAAACGUGGUGGGAGUAUUGAAAACGCUGGACCUGUAACUCCGCAGAGAAGCGCCUCCCCACCUCAACACCAGCACUGUUCUCAAUGUGUGGUGGCCUCUCCCUGCCUGAGAGCUGGUCAUUUUGGCUUCAGGGAGCCAGGUGAGGCAAUGCACGGCCAGCAGGUCAUUUGUCCUCAACAGCGCAGGCUCUGCCGGCUGCGAUUCCAUCACCCCUGGACUAGCAGAACCACUGCCUUUGCAGGAGUCUCAAAGGCCUGGGCUUUUGGGGGUGCUUCUCCGCCACUCCUGACUGCUUCUUUCCCUUCGGGGGCCGUGGCUGGUGCCUGCUGCGGGGUCACUGCGUGACGUGAGCACCGCAGCAUCUCAGGUGCACGAUGGCCCUGAGGUGCCCGGGAGCAGGCAAGGGCCGAGUCUUAACAGCUCCACUUCCUGUCCCCGAGUCUAUCUGCCGCUGCUCUGUAGAGUCCUACAGUUUCUCUGUGGUCAGUUUUCUUACCCAUUUCCUGCCAGCUGCUACUGGUUUUUUAGUCAGCUCUGACAGCUACGGUAAUUGGGAAAGGACGCAGGCUGCUGGGGCCGGGUGAUUCACCAGCUCUGGCCAACAGGGACAAGGAGCACAGACGGAGGCACCCUGUCGGUCCCCCUGGGCCUGGUCCCCCAGGCCUCAAUGAGUGAGACACAGAAAAGACCCAGGGGCACACUCAUUGUGAACCGAAAGCUGAUCUCUGUGCACGCGCGCGUGCAUGCGACAUAAGGGAAUUUUUUUUUU
RNAcentral lists this long non-coding RNA (1027 nucleotides) under Pan troglodytes (chimpanzee). RNAcentral's name for it is "lincRNA". Lineage: Eukaryota; Metazoa; Chordata; Mammalia; Primates; Hominidae. The record is from RNAcentral.